This 504-nucleotide ribosomal RNA is filed under the name uncultured bacterium. RNAcentral describes it as "bacterial SSU rRNA". It matches the Rfam family "Bacterial small subunit ribosomal RNA", at positions 33 to 507 of the family's 1533-position model. The record is from RNAcentral.
ACGACGCUGGCGGCGUGCUUAACACAUGCAAGUCGAACGGAGAUUAUUAAUGAAGCUUGCGAUUUAAUAAUCUUAGUGGCGGACGGGUGAGUAACGCGUGGGCAACCUACCCAUAAGCGGGGGAUAACAGUUGGAAACGACUGCUAAUACCGCAUAAGCUAUUGAGGUCGCAUGACCUAAAUAGUAAAGGUGGCGAAAGCUAUCACUUAUGGAUGGGCCCGCGUCUGAUUAGCUAGUUGGUGGGAUAGCAGCCUACCAAGGCAACGAUCAGUAGCCGGCCUGAGAGGGUGGACGGCCACACUGGGACUGAGACACGGCCCAGACUCCUACGGGAGGCAGCAGGUGGGGAAUAUUGCGCAAUGGGGGAAACCCUGACGCAGCGACGCCGCGUGAGCGAAGAAGGCCUUAGGGUCGUAAAGCUCUGUUGUAAGGGACGAAUGUUUAUCUGGCGAACAGUCAGAUAAAGUGACGGUACCUUACCAGCAAGCCCCGGCUAACUACGUG